AACGCUAGCUACAGGCUUAACACAUGCAAGUCGAGGGGAAACGACAUCGAAAGCUUGCUUUUGAUGGGCGUCGACCGGCGCACGGGUGAGUAACGCGUAUCCAACCUGCCCACCACUUGGGGAUAACCUUGCGAAAGUAAGACUAAUACCCGAUGAUAUCUCUAGACGACAUCUGAAAGGGAUUAAAGAUUUAUCGGUGAUGGAUGGGGAUGCGUCUGAUUAGCUUGUUGGCGGGGUAACGGCCCACCAAGGCGACGAUCAGUAGGGGUUCUGAGAGGAAGGUCCCCCACAUUGGAACUGAGACACGGUCCAAACUCCUACGGGAGGCAGCAGUGAGGAAUAUUGGUCAAUGGACGAGAGUCUGAACCAGCCAAGUAGCGUGCAGGAUGACGGCCCUAUGGGUUGUAAACUACUUUUAUAAGGGAAUAAAGUGAGCCUCGUGAGGCUUUUUGCAUGUACCUUAUGAAUAAGGACCGGCUAAUUCCGUGCCAGCAGCCGCGGUAAUACGGAAGGUCCGGGCGUUAUCCGGAUUUAUUGGGUUUAAAGGGAGCGUAGGCCGGAGAUUAAGCGUGUUGUGAAAUGUAGACGCUCAACGUCUGCACUGCAGCGCGAACUGGUUUCCUUGAGUACGCACAAAGUGGGCGGAAUUCGUGGUGUAGCGGUGAAAUGCUUAGAUAUCACGAAGAACUCCGAUUG
This 696-nucleotide ribosomal RNA is filed under the name uncultured bacterium. RNAcentral's name for it is "bacterial SSU rRNA". It matches the Rfam family "Bacterial small subunit ribosomal RNA", at positions 32 to 715 of the family's 1533-position model. The record is from RNAcentral.